Molecule: long non-coding RNA, 453 nt
Organism: Cyprinus carpio carpio
Lineage: Eukaryota; Metazoa; Chordata; Actinopteri; Cypriniformes; Cyprinidae
Source: Ensembl
GUCCCAGUUUGCUUGUCUAAAAGUCAAUGUUGAUAGUCAAUGUUGUUUGCAGAGUAACUUAUGUACUAGGAUUUGGGUGAUUUGGAUGGACACUUAAACUUGCAUAUCAGAAAUACAACAAACAGGAAUACCACAUUCACAACAGUUGAUAUUUAGUAGUGAAUUAGCUAUCUGGUAAAGCUUUUGUCUUGUUUGGAAGCCACUCCCCUAUUUGGCAAAGUAGUAUACCUGUUGCUAAUUGCAAGAGUAUAUAGCAAUGUUUGUUAUUACUGUUCUUGAUGUCUGAUAAAGGCCUGGAUAAUGGCUGAAAUGUCAUGAAUUUUAAAAUUUCUUCAAGAAGAGUCUUUUCAGGUUGCUGUUGAGGACAAACUGCCUCACGCUGCCAGCACUCAGGGGGAAAAUUGGGCUACCGGAGCGUCCGAGUGCUCCUCCUGACGAAGAGCGGCGGCAUUU